GCCGUCACGGGGUGCCGGGUCCCACACCCCGCCCCAAUGUCACACUUAAAAUAAGCCCCCAGGUAAGCAAGGCCCCGGGGCGGGGGGCGGGGGGCUGCCACCGGCAGGAGGCGGGAGCUCCGGCAGGUGGGGCAGAGCCGGCUCAGCUGGGGCUGCUCUGCCCCACCCCUCCUCGCACCUGUCGCCCCUCUUCACGCCGCGUGGGCCACACGUGCUCAGCGAGGCCUCUUCCUAAACGGACUUCUUACCCCGCAGAGUCACCCUCACCGCCGUUUUCAGAGCGCAAUGAUCUCGCCCAGGUCCUGGCGGCUCCAGGAAUCCCUGGGCUCGUGGUCACAGCCCUCCAGUCUCUGCCUCUAUUCUCACAUGACCUGUGUCCCCAUGCCCCAAAUCUCACUCUCCUAUCUCUUUCAAGGAGGCUCGGCCGUGGAUUCUGUAAUCUAAUCACAUCUGCAAAGACCUAUUUCCAAAUAAGGUCGCGUUCACAGGGCGCAGGGGUGAGGACUCUUUUUAGGGGAUGCUUUUCAACUCACUGCUUCACACUGGAUAAAGGUGGCCCUACCCCCAACCACUGGUGACUUUGAAGAUGCAGGGAGGCCCCUUUGAAGACCAGUGGAGCCUGGCAGGAAGCCGCCACAGGCCAAGGAACAGCAGGGAUCUCUGGCCACCACAAGCUUGAGAAAGGGUCCUCCCUAGAGCCUUCAGAGGGAGCCCAGCCCCAGAAACCCCUGGAUUUUGGACUUUCGGCUUCCAGAACUGUGAGACAGUUCUGUGUUUCAAACCCCUACUUUGUGGCCAUUUGUAAUGGUGGCCCCAGGACCCUCGCACACCCUGUUGGUUCUUAUUUCUAAUAUGUUUCUAAUACAUUGCAACUGUGCACCCACCUGCUUGUUCUGUAUUUUCCUUACCAUUUGUUUCUGCCAUCUCCACCCGCAUCCUUGGCUGUGGCCCUCCCUCCAUGUCCAGAGCCAGCAGCAGGGGGCCUUCCCAGCUCCCUCUGACUCUGACUCCCGCCCCCUGUUGUAAGGAUCCCGUGAUGACACUGAGCCCAGCUUGAUAGCCCAGGAUGGUCUCUCCCUUCAAGACUCCUACUUAGCCCCACCUGCGAAGUCCGCUUUGCCCCCAGACAAGGUCACAUAGCCACAGAUUCCUUCUGGGAAUCGGGACACGGUUACCCUGUUGACCCCGUCACCAUCCUUCCCUCAGCCCACGGGGGGCCACAGUGCUCUCUCUC
RNAcentral lists this long non-coding RNA (1234 nucleotides) under Felis catus (domestic cat). RNAcentral describes it as "lncRNA (ENSFCAG00000044713.2)". Lineage: Eukaryota; Metazoa; Chordata; Mammalia; Carnivora; Felidae. The record is from RNAcentral.